AUCUGAAAUUACUAUUUUUCUGUUAAAUUCUUUCAUACUCCAGAUGAUAGCUCAAAGAUUGUCCUCUGGGACAAAGGGAGGGAGUAUGAAGUAAAGCUACCAAAGUUAGGGCUGAACACCCUUCAGUAUAAAGAAUAACUUUUCCUUGGGCAAAGUCAAACACUUGCUGAUUCUGCUGUGUCCAUGUUUGAAUGUCCUAUGGAAUGCUUUUCUUUACCAACUGAUUUAAUUUCGAUGCUGGUUUUUAAUUGGCAGAACACAUACCCCAAACUUUGUAUGGCAAAUUUAUACAGUUAAGAGCUUUCCUGCAGGAGGGAUGGUAAGAACCCCAACACACCAUAUAGCUGCAGCCAGUCACACACUCCUCUGCAGGAUGGCAGCCAGACAGCACAGUUUAUUCUGAAAUUCCUGUUCACUGGGAUCUGAUACUUCAAGCAGGUGUCACAGCAGCACUGGCAGUCACGGAGCAGUGUGGGUGCUGUGGCAAGAUAACCACUGCUAGCUUAGUUUCACCAACUUGCAACUCUUGAUUACAGAUCACAGCCUUCACCAGUAAGACAAGUUCUUCAGCAAGAGAAAACCUCCCACCUUAAUAAGGACCUUGUUACUUCAAUAGCAGCAAAGCAUUUCUGCAGAGCUACUCUCGAAUCUUCCAUGUGGUUGCAAGAAGAGGACUGACAACUUCUGGACUUACCAGCCAAGCAGCUCUACUAGAUGCUGUUAACAGCACCCACUUUUUGCAGAUCUGCAGUGGGCAGAAGACUGAGACUAAUCUUACCUGCUGACUUCCUGAGUACAGUCAGUAGUUUCCUGGAGCCACUCAAGCUUUGUGUGCCCAGAGCUUUGUGUGCCCAGUACCUGCUGCACCAGUCAGCACAAGGCCACACAGCCUCCAUAGCUCUUGAGAACACAGUGAUCAUCAGGUGUGAUCCACAACUGAUGUGCAAGAGCCAUGACUUUAACAUCUUCCAUCUUUAUUCAAAAGCAUGUACAAAACAUGGCACACGAAAAUAUGCACCAUUCUCAGAAACAUUUGUUAACAGAAACAAGUAUUGAAAGCAAUGAAGAGAAACCUAUUUUCUAGUUUAUUUCUGCUUAUCUUGAUAUUCAAUAGACCGGUCACUUCUUAAUAAGCAAGCCAUAGGAGAUGCUCAGUGAGCCAAUACACUCCUGAGGUUCAGUAAGAUCCUUAGCAUCCACUUCAGUAGGCUGAUGGAUACUUAUUUUUGACAUUUCCAAUGCUUUAUGUGCUGUUCCUGGUAGUGUUUAUACUUCAUACUACUUUGUCAGAGAAAUUUGUCAUUGAUGAACAGCUACCCCCCAUGACCUAUAGGGUUGUUCUAUUUGCCAUCUGUUAAAGGUGGGACAGUUAUCUUCUGUUAAUUGGGCAGCUCUCUUUAUCUCUUCAACAACCAAUGCUCCCCCCAGGAAGAUAUCUUCUAUUAAUGGGCCUUUGAGUCUCACUGCAUGACUGAUAAACUUUCAUCACCCCAUUGUGAGAAGCUCCACCUAGAGAGAGUGGCCAAACAUUCCCACCUGGAUAUAAUCUGAGACUUUGGAACACCAGUCAGCCUCUGGAUUCCCAGAUGAUCACCAGGCCCAUGUACACCACCACUGGACCUUCAGAGGAAUUCCACCCUUCUACAGGAUCACUGCUCCAACAGAACGACACCUGACAAUCCAGGAGGACUGCAGCCACCAUUUAAUUGGGCUGCUACCAACACCCUGACCAACAAGGCUGUCAGGCUGUAUUCUGACUCUGUCAGUGUUGUUUUGUAUUACUGCAUUUUUAUUCUUACUUUUAU
Long non-coding RNA from Passer domesticus (house sparrow), 1805 nucleotides. RefSeq lists it as uncharacterized. The record is from RefSeq and is a predicted model, not a curated record. NCBI's taxonomy places the organism in Eukaryota, Metazoa, Chordata, Aves, Passeriformes, Passeridae. The transcript has 2 exons.